AAGUCUGGAUGCUCAGCUGCUGGAAGCCCUUAAACAGUGGCUCUGUUUGUCCAGAUCAACU
MicroRNA precursor from Cavia aperea (Brazilian guinea pig), 61 nucleotides. NCBI's taxonomy places the organism in Eukaryota, Metazoa, Chordata, Mammalia, Rodentia, Caviidae. The record is from Ensembl.